Sphaerodactylus townsendi is the source of this 147-nucleotide long non-coding RNA. RefSeq lists it as uncharacterized. Lineage: Eukaryota; Metazoa; Chordata; Lepidosauria; Squamata; Sphaerodactylidae. The record is from RefSeq and is a predicted model, not a curated record. The transcript is spliced from 3 exons.
GAGAUCAGAGGUGGGGCCCUGAUGCUCCACAACCAGGUGGGGAAGGGGAGGGGGGGAAAGCACCCAAGCCCCUCCCCAGAAGCAGCCCCUCUUGGGCAAACCCCCUGGGCAGAGGGGGCUCCGGCCCCUGCUCUGGUUCCCCAAAGA